This is a long non-coding RNA of Salvia splendens (bonfire salvia), 2811 nucleotides long. RefSeq lists it as uncharacterized. The transcript is spliced from 4 exons. The record is from RefSeq and is a predicted model, not a curated record. Lineage: Eukaryota; Viridiplantae; Streptophyta; Magnoliopsida; Lamiales; Lamiaceae.
GGACAGGCUAUCUGUUUUAUAACCUUCAGAGGCAAGAGAUCUGUUCUUAGUUUAACAUCGCCCUCAAGAGAAAUUGUUGGUCUCGAAAUCAACUGUUCACAGGGUAGAAUGGGACUCAAGCUGUUGUUAUAAGGAUUCCUCUGGAAGCCUUCAAGUGCUCUGCAUGUGUCUCCCAUCAAGCUGAAAGUUUUUAUCCCUUUAUUUGAUCCGAUGGACAUGUUGUAUAUGCAAGUCAAAUAUUGUACUAGAAUUUAUUUUUACCUAGAUAUAUCCAUACAUUUUUUGGUUCACAUCAAUUGUUUUGGAGCUUGGAGAUGAAAACUUACGUUUGUAGGAAGAAGCUUAUCCCAAAAAGCAACCAACAGAAGAAAGUUAACAUCCAGCUAACUGCUAUUAAUCUGCAAUGGGGGCCUCUGAAAGCUUGAAACUCCAAGAGCUGUAAUAACAAGAGCAUUUUGUGAAGAAAAGGAAAAUGCAGGAAAGAAAGCUCGAUUGUUAUGACUAUUGACAAAUUUUUUUAACAGAAGAUUGAUUUGUUUUAACACAACUCAUCUUUGGAAGCAGGGUGCUCAUUUGGCCUUACCUAAGAGAGAGAUUACGACAAGUAGUAUGCGCCAUCUGCUGUGUCAAGAAGAAUUUCUACCACUAUCUUUGCUCUGGAAUGGGACUUUGAAUUACCUCCAAAAGCCAAGCCAGAGGCCGCUCUGAAAUGAUAGCAGCAGGUAUGAUGUUUUUUUGUGUAAUUAGGACUUCUCGUUUUGAAACACAACUUCUACAGCUGCUUCGCUUCUAAUGACUGUUGUUGCCAUGUACUCCCUCCGUCCCGGACUACUCGCACAUUUCCUUUUCGGCACGGAGAUUAAGGAAUGAGUGUAUAGCAAAGUCAACAAUUGCGGCUGUAGGUGAUAAUUUUUACUAAAAAUGGAAAGAGUGCAAAUAACUUGGGACGCCCAGAAAGGAAAUAAGUGCAAGUAGUCCGGGACGGAGGGAGUAAUAAAGAGUAACCUGAUGUGCCUAUUACUUACACUGCAAGGAGCGUACAGAAACUAGCCAAUAUAAUAGGUUGUAAAUGGUACUGCUCAUAACACGAUGAUUUGUUCUUGCGCUUUCUGCUCGUUUUGAAGCAAUCAGUUCUUACUAAAAGAAGAAUUCCAUAUCCUAGACCGCAUAGGAGCCAUAUUAGUGCAACAGCAUACCCGGGUAUGCCUGUAAAUGCCGUUGACUGCACAACAGAACAUAUGCUGUAAAAUGACGUCACCUCUCAUUUUCUGUUAAGAUGAAAGGGGUGGGAGCAAUAUCUAUAUACCAAUACUUACACUCCAGUAAUGGUCAUUUGUAACGUUAUAUCCUCCUCUGUAUUUCUUCAAUAAAUUUAAAGGGUCUGCUCUAACGGUUUCUUUCAUAUAUGUCGUCCCUACUGAGGUCAUGUUCGAUCCUGUUAAAAUUCGUCCUGAAAGGUUGAAAGCUUUCAUGCAAAGUUUAUAAAAGAGUUUUUGCAGAGGUUAAAAGCUCCUAAAGUAGAGAAGCAAAGGAAGAGAUGAAUCAGUCACCUGCUUCGGAGCUGGAAACUCCUGUGAAGCUCAACGCAAGCAUUCCUAGAAUCACAUGCUUUGCCAUUCUUGUUCCGCGAAAGGUUCCCAUUUCUUCUACCUAUCACUGAUUUUCUGCCUAUAUUUAAUUGUUUGGAUAGGAAAUUUAGAGGAUCUUUUCCUCCCCAACUUAGACCAUGAGAAAUAUAGAAAUGCGUGCUCAGAGUUUUCCAUCACUCAGAGUAAAUUGGAGACAAGCUAACUCUAUUUAGGGGGCGUUUACUCUGUGGGAUAUGAUUUAUAUAUAGAUGAAGACAAAGUGUACUUUUAAUGUGAGAUACAGAGACUGAGCCAUACUAGGUGAAAGCCCGACUUAGAAAGAAAAAAAAAUGUUAAGGAAAACAGCUUAUAGCUUUAUGGAAUUAGGUAGUAUGGCAUAUUGUAGAUAAUUCACCAAUACGAGGUGCUUGUAACGUGCUUCAUUUAUGCUUCUACUUAGAAAGAAAUUGAUAGGAGUUGAUGGUCGUCGAUUUAGGUGAUUGAACAUUUUUCUCGUGUUCAAGCUUAGGUGCAGAAAAUUGGGAGUAUGAAGUGAGUAGGAACGAAUCCGUAGAUAUGCCUAUUAAUGGUAUUUUGGUAGUUGAUGCAAUCUAUUAAUGGUAUGUUGCCAUGUUGGUACAUAGAUGCUAUAAUAAAUGGUGUUUAAUUUGCAUUAUACGUCAUCAAUGCAUGCCACGUGUAUAGAUAUUGAAAGAAGGAAGCAGUCAAAAAACUCACUCGGAAAAGAACUGCUACUCCUUUUUCCUCUGAGCUCGCGUUUCUUGUCGUUGAUUAUGAAGUUUUGCUCAGGGAAGCUGAUGUGAGUACCUUCGAAUAGAAUAAAAUGGGUAGGAAUUGAUCAAUGUAUUCCAUCGAUCCAGUUAAACUGGAAUCGAUAGAAGAUCUUCAUUUUUCAUAAAAAAUGAAAAAAGAAAAGGGACAAAUAUUAUCACUGGCCAUUCCUUAUAUUUUUUUAGGGGAGAGGUUUAUGCAUGAUGAAGAAAAGCUACAAAUAGAAUUAUUAACAACUAAAUAUUAUUGUUAUUAUUGUAAUUUAGUGUGUAAUUUGCGUCGCAUUUGCUCUGUGUGUCCUUUUCUCAGUUUUGACUUUUAAAAGUAAGUCAGUUAAAAUGUUUUCUAUGUUUCCGACCGGAAAAUGUGUUAAAAACUGGUUAAAACAUCUUUCGAUUUUUAAGGAUUUUGUAAUAUAUUCAGUACUUGAAUUUGUUGGAUUGUAUUGUAA